AGUGAACGCUGGCGGUAGGCCUAACACAUGCAAGUCGAACGGCAGCACAGUAAGAGCUUGCUCUUACGGGUGGCGAGUGGCGGACGGGUGAGGAAUACAUCGGAAUCUACUUUUUCGUGGGGGAUAACGUAGGGAAACUUACGCUAAUACCGCAUACGACCUACGGGUGAAAGCAGGGGAUCUUCGGACCUUGCGCGAUUGAAUGAGCCGAUGUCGGAUUAGCUAGUUGGCGGGGUAAAGGCCCACCAAGGCGACGAUCCGUAGCUGGUCUGAGAGGAUGAUCAGCCACACUGGAACUGAGACACGGUCCAGACUCCUACGGGAGGCAGCAGUGGGGAAUAUUGGACAAUGGGCGCAAGCCUGAUCUAGCCAUACCGCGUGGGUGAAGAAGGCCUUCGGGUUGUAAAGCCCUUUUGUUGGGAAAGAAAAGCGGCAGGUUAAUACCCCGCUGUUCUGACGGUACCCAAAGAAUAAGCACCGGCUAACUUCGUG
This 492-nucleotide ribosomal RNA is filed under the name uncultured bacterium. RNAcentral describes it as "partial 16S ribosomal RNA". It matches the Rfam family "Bacterial small subunit ribosomal RNA", at positions 29 to 507 of the family's 1533-position model. The record is from RNAcentral.